GACGAACGCUGGCGGCGUGCCUAAUACAUGCAAGUCGAACGCUUCUUUCCUCCCGAGUGCUUGCACUCAAUUGGAAAGAGGAGUGGCGGACGGGUGAGUAACACGUGGGUAACCUACCCAUCAGAGGGGGAUAACACUUGGAAACAGGUGCUAAUACCGCAUAACAGUUUAUGCCGCAUGGCAUAAGAGUGAAAGGCGCUUUCGGGUGUCGCUGAUGGAUGGACCCGCGGUGCAUUAGCUAGUUGGUGAGGUAACGGCUCACCAAGGCCACGAUGCAUAGCCGACCUGAGAGGGUGAUCGGCCACACUGGGACUGAGACACGGCCCAGACUCCUACGGGAGGCAGCAGUAGGGAAUCUUCGGCAAUGGACGAAAGUCUGACCGAGCAACGCCGCGUGAGUGAAGAAGGUUUUCGGAUCGUAAAACUCUGUUGUUAGAGAAGAACAAGGACGUUAGUAACUGAACGUCCCCUGACGGUAUCUAACCAGAAAGCCACGGCUAACUACGUGCCAGCAGCCGCGGUAAUACGUANGUGGCAAGCGUUGUCCGGAUUUAUUGGGCGUAAAGCGAGCGCANGCGGUUUCUUAAGUCUGAUGUGAAAGCCCCCGGCUCAACCGGGAAGGGUCAUUGGAAACUGGGAGACUUGAG
Molecule: ribosomal RNA, 647 nt
Filed under: uncultured bacterium
Lineage: Bacteria
Description: bacterial SSU rRNA
Rfam family: Bacterial small subunit ribosomal RNA
Source: RNAcentral